ACGAUGAGUGCUAGGUGUUGGGUAGCGAUAUUCAGUGCCGAAGUAAACACAAUAAGCACUCCGCCUGGGGAGUACGGUCGCAAGACUGAAACUCAAAGGAAUUGACGGGGACCCGCACAAGCAGCGGAGCAUGUGGUUUAAUUCGAAGCAACGCGAAGAACCUUACCAAGGCUUGACAUCCCCUUGACCGGUACAGAGAUGUGCCCUCUCCUUCGGGAGCAAGGGUGACAGGUGGUGCAUGGUUGUCGUCAGCUCGUGUCGUGAGAUGUUGGGUUAAGUCCCGCAACGAGCGCAACCCUUAUCCUUAGUUGCCAGCAGGUAAAGCUGGGCACUCUAAGGAGACUGCCGAUGAUAAAUCGGAGGAAGGUGGGGAUGACGUCAAAUCAUCAUGCCCCUUAUGUCUUGGGCUACACACGUGCUACAAUGGUCGGUACAAAGGGCAGCGAAGGAGUGAUCUGGAGCGAAUCCCAAUAAACCGAUCCCAGUUCGGAUUGUAGGCUGCAACUCGCCUACAUGAAGUCGGAGUUGCUAGUAAUCGCGAAUCAGAACGUCGCGGUGAAUGCGUUCCCGGGUCUUGUACACACCGCCCGUCACACCAUGGAAGUUGGUAAUACCCAAAGUCGCUGAGCUAACCGCAAGGAGGCAGGCGCCUAAGGUAGGAUCAAUGACUGGGGUGAAGUCGUAACAAGGUAACCAAUCU
RNAcentral lists this ribosomal RNA (700 nucleotides) under bacterium enrichment culture clone SYF58. RNAcentral describes it as "bacterial SSU rRNA". It matches the Rfam family "Bacterial small subunit ribosomal RNA", at positions 806 to 1506 of the family's 1533-position model. The record is from RNAcentral.